This 497-nucleotide ribosomal RNA is filed under the name uncultured bacterium. RNAcentral's name for it is "partial 16S ribosomal RNA". It matches the Rfam family "Bacterial small subunit ribosomal RNA", at positions 28 to 507 of the family's 1533-position model. The record is from RNAcentral.
GAUGAACGCUGGCGGCGUGCCUAAUACAUGCAAGUCGAGCGAAAAGAUAAGGAGCUUGCUCCUUUGACGUUAGCGGCGGACGGGUGAGUAACACGUGGGUAACCUACCUAUAAGACUGGGAUAACUUCGGGAAACCGGAGACAAUACCGGAUAACAUUUGGAACCGCAUGGUUCUAAAGUGAAUGAUGGUUUUGCUAUCACUUAUAGAUGGACCCGCGCCGGAUUAGCUAGUUGGUAAGGUAACGGCUCACCAAGGCGACGAUACGUAGCUGACCUGAGAGGAUGAUCGGCCACACUGGAACUGAGACACGGUCCAGACUCCUACGGGAGGCAGCAGUAGGGAAUCUUCGGCAAUGGGCGAAAGCCUGACGGAGCAACGCCGCGUGAGUGAUGAAGGGCUUCGGCUCGUAAAACUCUGUUAUUAGGGAAGAACAGCUGUGUAAGAAACUGUGCAUGUCUUGACGGUACCUAAUGAGAAAGCCACGGCUAACUACGUG